GCGCCCGUGGUGAAAUGGAUAUCACAACGGUCUUCGGAACCGUCGUUGCGAGUUCGAGUCUUGCCGGGCGCA
This 72-nucleotide transfer RNA is filed under the name Minisyncoccota bacterium. Its description in RNAcentral is "tRNA-Arg". It matches the Rfam family "tRNA". Rfam says of the family: Transfer RNA (tRNA) molecules are approximately 80 nucleotides in length. RNAcentral also lists the same sequence under 1 other name. Lineage: Bacteria; Bacillati; Minisyncoccota. The record is from RNAcentral.